This 255-nucleotide long non-coding RNA is filed under the name Gossypium barbadense (sea-island cotton). RNAcentral's name for it is "long non-coding RNA (GBAR_LNC016931)". The record is from RNAcentral. Lineage: Eukaryota; Viridiplantae; Streptophyta; Magnoliopsida; Malvales; Malvaceae.
UUCUUUAGUGUUCUUGUUUGUUUUUCUUACUACCAUUGUUAUUCUAUCCAAGCUUUUACAAGAAAGUUUGGAUUUUUAUUUAUUUUCUUAGGGUUUAAGUUAAUGUUAUUUUCAUUUAAUUUCUUAAUGAUUAUGGGUUUUAAUACAAGCAUGAGUUACUAAAUACUUAGGGGUUGAUUGAUUGAAAUGUUAGGUAAUUGGUUUUUGGGUUCGGAGACUAAUGUGCAAAAUUAGGCUAAAUCGAAUAGGCUUCAA